RNAcentral lists this transfer RNA (85 nucleotides) under Felis catus (domestic cat). It matches the Rfam family "tRNA". Rfam says of the family: Transfer RNA (tRNA) molecules are approximately 80 nucleotides in length. Their secondary structure includes four short double-helical elements and three loops (D, anti-codon, and T loops). Further hydrogen bonds mediate the characteristic L-shaped molecular structure. tRNAs have two regions of fundamental functional importance: the anti-codon, which is responsible for specific mRNA codon recognition, and the 3' end, to which the tRNAs corresponding amino acid is attached (by aminoacyl-tRNA synthetases). tRNAs cope with the degeneracy of the genetic code in two manners: having more than one tRNA (with a specific anti-codon) for a particular amino acid; and 'wobble' base-pairing, i.e. permitting non-standard base-pairing at the 3rd anti-codon position. Lineage: Eukaryota; Metazoa; Chordata; Mammalia; Carnivora; Felidae. The record is from Rfam by way of RNAcentral.
GCCCGGGUGGCUCAGUGGGUUAAGCGUCCGACUUGGGCUCAGGUCCUGACCUCACGGAUCGUGGGUUCGAGCCCCGCGUCGGGCU